AGAAAGCAACCGCGAUUCCCUCAGUAGCGGCGAGCGAACGGGGAACAGCCUAAACCGGUUGGAUGUAAGCGUGCAGGCGUUGUUCAAUGGGUGUCGUGGGAGUGAGCUUGGUUCCGCUGCAUCGGAAUCCGAAAGUUACAAAUCGGCUCGUUAGUCGAACGUUCUGGAAAGUACGGCCAUAGAGGGUAACAGCCCCGUAGACGAAAANNNNNNCGUUGGCGACCGAUAGUGAACCAGUACCGUGAGGGAAAGGUGAAAAGAACCCCUGCGAGGGGAGUGAAAUAGUACCUGAAACCGUGUGUCUACAAGCAGUCGAAGGGCUAUGGUUCGUCCAGCGCGACGGCGUGCCUUUUGCAUAAUGAGCCGGCUAGUUACUCUAUGCAGCAAGGUUAAGCGAUAAGCCAGCCGAAGCGAAAGCGAGUCUUAAUAGGGCGUUCAGUUGCAUGGAGUAGACGCGAAGCCGAGUGAUCUACCCUUGGCCAGGGUGAAGCGUGGGUAACACCACGUGGAGGCCCGAACCAGUGUCGGUUGAAAACGGCUUGGAUGAGCUGAGGGUAGGGGUGAAAGGCUAAUCAAACUCGGUGAUAGCUCGUUCUCCCCGAAAUAGCUUUAGGGCUAGCCUUGCGUGUUCGUUUGCGGUGGUAGAGAACUGAAUGGACUAGGGGCCUUACCAGGUUACUGAAUCCAACCAAACUCCGAAUGCCGUAAACCAAGAGCGCGGGAGUCAGACUGUGGGGGAUAAGCUCCAUGGUCGAGAGGGAAACAACCCAGACCGCCAGCUAAGGUCCCGAAGUACAUGCUAAGUGGGAAAGGAUGUGGGGACGCUGAGACAGCCAGGAGGUUGGCUUAGAAGCAGCCAUCCUUUAAAGAAUGCGUAAUAGCUCACUGGUCAAGUGUCUCUGCGCCGAUAAUUCAACGGGGCUCAAGCAUGUCACCGAAGCUGCGGAUCUCGUCGAUCUUCGGAUCAGCGCGGUGGUAGGGGAGCAUUCCCUGUGGGCCGAAGCCGGACCGUAAGGACCGGUGGACCGCAGGGAAGAGACUCUGCCGGCAUAAGUAGCGAUAAAACGGGUGAGAAACCCGUUCGCCGAAAGUCUAAGGUUUCCUGAGCAAGGUUAAUCCGCUCAGGGUUAGUCGGUCCCUAAGCCGAGGCCGAAAGGCGUAGGCGAUGGACAGCAGGUCAACAUUCCUGCACCACCUCAAGAGCGUUUGUACGAUGGGGUGACGCAGAAGGAUAGGCAUACGGGGUGAUGGAUGUCCCCGGCCGCAAUCGUAGGAGGGCUCUCCAGGCAAAUCCGGAGGGCCAUAUCUCUGAGGAAAGCGGGGAAGCGCGGCUUCGGCCAAACCAACUUGUUGAUUCCACACUGCCAAGAAAAACCUCUAGGGAGUUCGUGAGGUGACCGUACCGCAAACCGACACAGGUAGACAGGGAGAGAAUCCCAAGGCGCGUGAGAGAACGCUCGUUAAGGAACUCGGCAAAUUAGCCCCGUAACUUCGGGAGAAGGGGUGCCCUAAGGGUUAGAAGAUUCGCUCUUCGAAGCCCCCGUGGGUUGCAGCGAACAGGUCCAGGCG
This 1569-nucleotide ribosomal RNA is filed under the name Gammaproteobacteria bacterium. RNAcentral's name for it is "partial 23S ribosomal RNA". It matches the Rfam family "Bacterial large subunit ribosomal RNA", at positions 220 to 1798 of the family's 2925-position model. RNAcentral also lists the same sequence under 1 other name. The record is from RNAcentral. Lineage: Bacteria; Pseudomonadati; Pseudomonadota; Gammaproteobacteria.